UCCCUGGUGUCUCAGACGGUAAAGCGUCUGCCUGCAAUGCAGGAGACCUGGGUGUUCAAUUCCUGGCUUGGGAA
This 74-nucleotide transfer RNA is filed under the name Ovis aries (sheep). It matches the Rfam family "tRNA". Rfam says of the family: Transfer RNA (tRNA) molecules are approximately 80 nucleotides in length. Their secondary structure includes four short double-helical elements and three loops (D, anti-codon, and T loops). Lineage: Eukaryota; Metazoa; Chordata; Mammalia; Artiodactyla; Bovidae. The record is from Rfam by way of RNAcentral.